CCUACGGGAGGCUGCAGUAGGGAAUAUUGCUCAAUGGGGGAAACCCUGAAGCAGCAACGCCGCGUGGAGGAUGAAGGUUUUCGGAUUGUAAACUCCUUUUGGUAGAGAAGAGAAUGACGGUAUCUAACGAAUAAGCACCGGCUAACUCCGGGCCAGCAGCCGCGGUAAUACGGAGGGUGCAAGCGUUACUCGGAAUCACUGGGCGUAAAGAGCGCGUAGGCGGGAUAGCAAGUCAGAUGUUAAAUCCUAUGGCUUAACCCUAGAACUGCAUUUGAAACUUUUAUUCUAGAGUAUGGGAGAGGUAGGUUGAAUUCUUUGUGUAGUGGUCAACUCCGUAGAGAUCCAGAGGACUACUCAUUGCGAAGGCGACCUGCUAGACCAUACCUGACGCUGCUGCGCGAAAGCGUGGGGAGCAACCAGGAUUAGAUACCCUAGUAGUC
Molecule: ribosomal RNA, 440 nt
Filed under: uncultured bacterium
Lineage: Bacteria
Description: partial 16S ribosomal RNA
Rfam family: Bacterial small subunit ribosomal RNA
Source: RNAcentral